RNAcentral lists this transfer RNA (79 nucleotides) under Caudoviricetes sp. Its description in RNAcentral is "tRNA-Glu". It matches the Rfam family "tRNA". From Rfam's summary of the family: Transfer RNA (tRNA) molecules are approximately 80 nucleotides in length. Their secondary structure includes four short double-helical elements and three loops (D, anti-codon, and T loops). Further hydrogen bonds mediate the characteristic L-shaped molecular structure. tRNAs have two regions of fundamental functional importance: the anti-codon, which is responsible for specific mRNA codon recognition, and the 3' end, to which the tRNAs corresponding amino acid is attached (by aminoacyl-tRNA synthetases). tRNAs cope with the degeneracy of the genetic code in two manners: having more than one tRNA (with a specific anti-codon) for a particular amino acid; and 'wobble' base-pairing, i.e. permitting non-standard base-pairing at the 3rd anti-codon position. Lineage: Duplodnaviria; Heunggongvirae; Uroviricota; Caudoviricetes. The record is from RNAcentral.
GCAUCCGUAGCUCAGAUGGCCAGAGCGUCGAGGAAUUUCACGCCUCUAAAUGUCGCCGGUUCGAGUCCGGUCGGAUGCA